Molecule: ribosomal RNA, 492 nt
Filed under: uncultured bacterium
Lineage: Bacteria
Description: partial 16S ribosomal RNA
Rfam family: Bacterial small subunit ribosomal RNA
Source: RNAcentral
AGUGAACGCUGGCGGUAGGCCUAACACAUGCAAGUCGAACGGCAGCACAGUAAGAGCUUGCUCUUACGGGUGGCGAGUGGCGGACGGGUGAGGCAUACAUCGGAAUCUACUUUUUCGUGGGGGAUAACGUAGGGAAACUUACGCUAAUACCGCAUACGACCUACGGGUUAAAGCUGGGGAUCUUCGGACCUUGUGCGAUUGAAUGAGCUGAUGUCGGAUUAGCUAGUUGGCGGGGUAAAGGCCCACCAAGGCGACGAUCCGUAGCUGGUCUGAGAGGAUGAUCAGCCACACUGGAACUGAGACACGGUCCAGACUCCUACGGGAGGCAGCAGUGGGGAAUAUUGGACAAUGGGCGCAAGCCUGAUCCAGCCAUACCGCGUGGGUGAAGAAGGCCUUCGGGUUGUAAAGCCCUUUUGUUGGGAAAGAAAAGCAGCAGGUUAAUACCCCGCUGUUCUGACGGUACCCAAAGAAUAAGCACCGGCUAACUUCGUG